Helianthus annuus (common sunflower) is the source of this 435-nucleotide long non-coding RNA. RefSeq lists it as uncharacterized. The record is from RefSeq and is a predicted model, not a curated record. NCBI's taxonomy places the organism in Eukaryota, Viridiplantae, Streptophyta, Magnoliopsida, Asterales, Asteraceae. The transcript is spliced from 3 exons.
AGGGUUCCAAGUUUUCAUAUGUGUGUGUCGACAUUUGAGAGGGAAAGCUCUCUCAAGAUAAAAUUGCCUAAAUUCAGCCAAAUCAAGAUGAAAUCGAUACUAUGUCCUUUGCGUGUUUGAAGAUUUCAAUCAUCUAGUAGCAUCAAAACCUAAGGUGUGAAGGUGGAAGGAUCAAGCAACCAAGGGAAACAAGAAGUACAAGACCGAGGUAAAUCAUCAAUCAAAAGAUCAAGUUAAACGAAUACACACGUGGUCUUUUUGUUUAUCAAGUCAUGGGUUAUGAACUUAUCUUUCUAAAUGUAAAUGGCUUUCUUUAUAAAAACUUUGUUGGUGUCAUGUGACUAAACUUAAUUAUAUUUUGGCUUUGUUUAUAACGUGGACAAGUAUCUAUGUACUAAAAUUUGAAUGCUUACCUCUCUUAAGGUGUUUUGGACG